This is a non-coding RNA of Callithrix jacchus (white-tufted-ear marmoset), 873 nucleotides long. The record is from RefSeq and is a predicted model, not a curated record. Lineage: Eukaryota; Metazoa; Chordata; Mammalia; Primates; Cebidae.
ACCGAAUGCUCCCUGAGCCCCCAUAUUCAAGCCUUUAAAAUUGCUGAUUCUGGUUCAGACGUUUCCUGGAGACUCUGAUAAAAGAUUAUUGUCUUCUUGGUGUCCUAGACAUGAGGGGUCCUGAGCCCAGGAGUCUAGCAGCUGUAACAAGAGGCAAGUCACGUUGCUUAUAUUUAAUUCAAUGUCUUCAUCCCUAAAAUAGAGAUCAUAAUGCCCCCUUGCCCACUUAGCCACUUCACAAUUUGCAGAGAUGUUGUAAUGAGAGAAUGCAUGUGAGUGUGCUGCUUUGAGAGUGGGCAAACGCAACAAGACAGCUAGCUGCUAGUGCUGAUGUUUUUCAUCCUUAGUGUGGAUGUUGAGAGAGAGCUCAGGAAGGCCAGGUGAUAUGGACAAGGUCACACAGCAAGUAAGUGGUUGAAAUAAAGGCACAAUAGCCCUGUGUCCCUCAGCAAGGGGCUGAAAAGAAAUUACAGAGCCAGUGGGAAGGCUCGGGUGCUGAGCUUUAGCAAUGCUGGGCUGAGCUCAGUACAGAAAUGGGGACACUGAUUUGGGAUGAAUCCCAAUGCUCUCCCCAGCUGACCCCGACUCCCUGUACCUUGGUCCCAGUGGCUUCUCAGGCUUCUCUGCAGCAUGGGUGUCCUGCCUUGGCCAGAGCCGAAAUCCCAGAGCAGUGAAAAAGGAGCCAGUGUCACGGGGCUUCUGGUUUCAGGACGCACUGGAAAGUGUUCUCUGUGAACAUGGUAGCUGACACAGGCUGGUCUGUACUGGAGUUAUCCUGGCACCCAGCCUACAAACAGAGGAAAUGUGCAGUUCAUUCAUGGAAUUUGAAUUUUUCCUGAAGAUCACUCCCCCAGUGAAUGACAUGUACCUAAA